This is a long non-coding RNA of Mesocricetus auratus (golden hamster), 873 nucleotides long. RefSeq lists it as uncharacterized. The transcript has 5 exons. Lineage: Eukaryota; Metazoa; Chordata; Mammalia; Rodentia; Cricetidae. The record is from RefSeq and is a predicted model, not a curated record.
GACUAGGGGUGCAAUGGCAGCCUGACUCAGCCUAUGUUGGGGGAGGGGAGGUUGACCCAGAAUCAGCUAGCUGGGUUCCAAGGCUAGGUCUAUCCGGAGGCCGCCUGCAAAACUCGGUGCCAGAACCCCAGUGCGGGGUCGCAGGAAUCGGAUGCACUGGGAGAGAAGCACAGAGGUGACGAGGGACUGGAGAUCUGACGCCGCGAUGCGGCGGAGCCUGUGACGGUCUGCUCAGCGUCUGCCCACCUCCCAGGGACCCGGGAACGAAAGCCAGUAGAGAAAGACACUGCCCCAGGCCACAUUCUCCCUCCCGCCGUCGCCCCACCUCCGCGGGCUCACCUGCAGGGAGAAGUUUGCUGAGACUGACAAAUGACUCCUUGGAAGUCAUGAGAUCCUUUAGAAGUCUGAAGCAUUCUGACGACACAGAGAUUAAUUUAGCCAUCAGAAGUUGUGUGGAUUCCAGAGGCUCCUGGAAAAUGGCGAGUGCACCAGUGGACAUACAGGGACGGAAGAUUGAACCUAGGGCUUCGUGUAUGCUAGGGAAGCACUCUUCACUGAGCUACAGUCCCUGCCUGACCUUGAACUUCUGAUUCUCUGGCACCCACUUCCUGAGUUCUGGGUUACAGUCUGGGGAUGGACCCCGCGGAGUGGUUCAAGCUAGAUGCUGGAUUACAGGAGUCUACCGCCACACCCAACUUUGCCUAUGUACACUCUUCUGCUAUGGAUACAGUUUCCUUACAGUCCUGCUCCAUGCUCAUUAUCAGUGACUUAGUACUGUUAAAUUAAUACUGCGUGCAUGUAUUCAUGGGCACAAACAUCGGUGUGUUGUUGGGCAUUUUUAUGGUUAAAAAUUUGCCACACAUUUAUUUUUAA